Molecule: ribosomal RNA, 445 nt
Filed under: uncultured bacterium
Lineage: Bacteria
Description: partial 16S ribosomal RNA
Rfam family: Bacterial small subunit ribosomal RNA
Source: RNAcentral
GUGAGGAAUAUUGGUCAAUGGGCGAGAGCCUGAACCAGCCAAGUCGCGUGAAGGAAGAAGGAUCUAUGGUUCGUAAACUUCUUUUGCAGGGGAAUAAAGUGCAGGACGUGUCCUGUUUUGUAUGUACCCUGAGAAUAAGGAUCGGCUAACUCCGUGCAAGCAGCCGCGGUAAUACGGAGGAUCCGAGCGUUAUCCGGAUUUAUUGGGUUUAAAGGGUGCGUAGGUGGUUUGAUAAGUCAGCGGUGAAAGUUUGCAGCUAAACUGUAAAAAUGCAAUUGAAACUGUCGGACUUGAGUGUAAAUGAGGUAGGCGGAAUGCGGGGUGUAGCGGUGAAAUGCAUAGAUAUCACGCAGAACUCCGAUGGCGAAGGCGACUUACUAAGCUACAACUGACACUGAAGCACGAAAGCGUGGGGAUCAAACAGGAUUAGAUACCCCGGUAGUCC